GACGAACGCUGGCGGCGUGCCUAAUACAUGCAAGUCGAGCGGACCAAUAGAAGCUUGCUUCUAUUGGUUAGCGGCGGACGGGUGAGUAACACGUGGGCAACCUGCCUGUAAGACUGGGAUAACUUCGGGAAACCGGAGCUAAUACCGGAUAAUUCAUCCCCUCGCAUGAGGGGGUGCUGAAAGUCGGUUCACGCUGACACUUACAGAUGGGCCUGCGGCGCAUUAGCUAGUUGGUGAGGUAAUGGCUCACCAAGGCGACGAUGCGUAGCCGACGUGAGAGGGUGAUCGGCCACACUGGGACUGAGACACGGCCCAGACUCCUACGGGAGGCAGCAGUAGGGAAUCUUCCACAAUGGACGAAAGUAUGAUGGAGCAACGCCGCGUGAGCGAUGAAGGCCUUCGGGUCGUAAAGCUCUGUUGUUAGGGAAGAACAAGUACCGGAGUAACUGCCGGUACCUUGACGGUACCUAACCAGAAAGCCACGGCUAACUACGUGCCAGCCGCCGCCGUAA
This 512-nucleotide ribosomal RNA is filed under the name uncultured bacterium. RNAcentral's name for it is "partial 16S ribosomal RNA". It matches the Rfam family "Bacterial small subunit ribosomal RNA", at positions 28 to 523 of the family's 1533-position model. The record is from RNAcentral.